Molecule: ribosomal RNA, 499 nt
Filed under: Bacillus sp. (in: firmicutes)
Lineage: Bacteria; Bacillati; Bacillota; Bacilli; Caryophanales; Bacillaceae
Description: bacterial SSU rRNA
Rfam family: Bacterial small subunit ribosomal RNA
Source: RNAcentral
GCAUGUGGUUUAAUUNGAAGCAACGCGAAGAACCUUACCAGGUCUUGACAUCCUCUNACAACCCUAGAGAUAGGGCUUUCCCUUCGGGGACAGAGUGACAGGUGGUGCAUGGUUGUCGUCAGCUCGUGUCGUGAGAUGUUGGGUUAAGUCCCGCAACGAGCGCAACCCUUGAUCUUAGUUGCCAGCAUUNAGUUGGGCACUCUAAGGUGACUGCCGGUGACAAACCGGAGGAAGGUGGGGAUGACGUCAAAUCAUCAUGCCCCUUAUGACCUGGGCUACACACGUGCUACAAUGGACAGAACAAAGGGCUGCGAGACCGCAAGGUUUAGCCAAUCCCACAAAUCUGUUCUCAGUUCGGAUCGCAGUCUGCAACUCGACUGCGUGAAGCUGGAAUCGCUAGUAAUCGCGGAUCAGCAUGCCGCGGUGAAUACGUUCCCGGGCCUUGUACACACCGCCCGUCACACCACGAGAGUUUGCAACACCCGAAGUCGGUGAGGUA